GAUGAACGCUGGCGGCGUGCCUAAUACAUGCAAGUCGAGCGAACAGACGAGGAGCUUGCUCCUCUGACGUUAGCGGCGGACGGGUGAGUAACACGUGGAUAACCUACCUAUAAGACUGGGAUAACUUCGGGAAACCGGAGCUAAUACCGGAUAACAUGUUGAACCGCAUGGUUCAACAGUGAAAGACGGUCUUGCUGUCACUUAUAGAUGGAUCCGCGCCGCAUUAGCUAGUUGGUAAGGUAACGGCUUACCAAGGCAACGAUGCGUAGCCGACCUGAGAGGGUGAUCGGCCACACUGGAACUGAGCCACGGUCCAGACUCCUACGGGAGGCAGCAGUAGGGAAUCUUCCGCAAUGGGCGAAAGCCUGACGGAGCAACGCCGCGUGAGUGAAGAAGGUCUUCGGAUCGUAAAACUCUGUUAUUAGGGAAGAACAAAUGUGUAAGUAACUAUGCACGUCCUGACGGUACCUAAUCAGAAAGCCACGGCUAACUACGU
RNAcentral lists this ribosomal RNA (496 nucleotides) under uncultured bacterium. RNAcentral's name for it is "partial 16S ribosomal RNA". It matches the Rfam family "Bacterial small subunit ribosomal RNA", at positions 28 to 506 of the family's 1533-position model. The record is from RNAcentral.